Cryptotermes secundus is the source of this 608-nucleotide long non-coding RNA. RefSeq lists it as uncharacterized. The transcript has 3 exons. Lineage: Eukaryota; Metazoa; Arthropoda; Insecta; Blattodea; Kalotermitidae. The record is from RefSeq and is a predicted model, not a curated record.
GGUAGAAGGGAAAAAUAUAAGAAAUCCGCAAGCCAAGAGACCGUGAGAACCGGUAAAAGCAGACUGUGGCUGUGACAAGCAGGAUAUCAGUAUCUGGUUCGCGCUUUGAUAUCGUGUGACCUUAACGUUUUUGUCGUGUGUUUGCGCGAGUGAAGGCGAACUGUGCUGUUGCAUGUUUUGUGGGGACAUUGAGCGCUAAGACAAUACUAGUAAUGUGAAAUUACGAGUGUAUUUUACGCGUUGAUUUUCAUGUACCUACGGGUAGCGUGUGUUUGAUUGCAAUGGUUCCCUAAGUGAUAACGUUGUGACAUUUUCAACGGAAGUAGCAUCCACUCGAUGAAGAUUUCGAACCAAGGACUACGACAAGAGGAGCUCCUAGGAAACCAUAACGCUGAGACCAAAACAGACGGCGGAACCUUAAGCGAUUAAGGACCCAUCUACAGGAGGAUGUACGGGGUAUUUGCAACAAAUCAGGAUGAUCUAAAUGGUGACUUGAAGGGAUAUGGAACGAGGCGAUCGUGACUUAUUCCACUCCUCUGCAGCUGAGAAAACUUCGUUAAGGAGACUAAUGGCUACUCACCCCUGCUCCUGAGCUAUCUUGAUGUUCC